UUAGAAAACUGGAAUUACAGGAAUGUACCACCAUGCCUGUUUAUGUGGUAUCCAAUGCUUCAAAUAUGUCAAGCAAGCACUCUGCAAACAUAACUAUAUCCCCAAUCCUCAAAUUGGAAUUUAAUGUAAGAAUAUAAAAGCAGCUUCUGACACUUUUAAAAAAAUAUUUACUUAUAUUUAUAUUGUGUGUAUGCAUGUUUUACAUGCACUUAUGUCUGUGUACCACAUGCAUGGAGUGUUCACAGAGACCCAAAGGCAUCAAAUCUCUUAGAACUAGAGUUAUGGAUGUUUGUGAGCCACGAUGUGGGUGCUGGUAAUUGAACACAGAUCUUCUUAACCUCUGAGCUGUCUCUCUAGUCCACGAGACAUAGGUUUUUAUAAUGUGAAUAAACAUUUUAGGACAUGGAGAUGCACUAUUAAAUAUGGUGGGCCUAGUGGAUUUUAUUUCAACCUAGAUUUUCUUCAUUUGCUGUAGGCUUUUUACCAAGAGCUUGUGCUCUAAGCCUGUCAGUGUCACCUUCCCAUAACCUCUAUUAAAGUUUUACUUGACAACAAAAGCUUCCCAUAUUUGGAGGACAGACAGAAAAGGCAAUGUGACUGCAGCCAUUGUCAGGACAGCAUCUGCUCCGAGAACCUCAAAAGAAGGAAGAGGGCAGUCAGCCAGAUGUCCAUGAGUCCUGCAAGGGGAAAAUUAUGUUGAGAUCCUAUUCCAUAGUCAUACUUUCCCAGAGGACUGCCAUUUUCUGACCUACCUUGUCAAUGUGGGAAUUCGAUUUGGGGACAUGGUCAAAUGCCAUUCUGUUGUGAAUUUGUCUUGGCAAAAUUUAUGAAGAAAUUUUCAUCUACAACUUGAUUUUUGCUCCCAGCUUUCCAUCCAAACUGUUGGGAUAUGCUUGUGCAAGUUGUUCAGUGCUAAAGUACUUACCUGGCGUGCUUGAGGCCCUGCCUUUUGCCCUAGCACUUUAGAAAAUCCACAUCAUCUCAUUAAAAAGAACCUAGACAAGGAAAUAUGUAACUAAGUUUUAUGGUGGAUUCGACAUCCUUCCAAGAGCAGAACCCUCUCAUCAGGUGGCUGAUUGAACAUUGUGUUUACAUCUUGCAAAAUUCUCCAUUUCUCUCACAUGAGUAAGCAACAGUGAAGGUCAUUAACAACAAAUUCAGUGAUAUCAGCAUUCAAGGUCACCAUGGACAUUUGAGAGUCAGUGACAUUCAAACAUUGGAUUUAUUAGUAAGAACUCAGGCUUUGCUCAGGCUUUACACUCUCCAUGCUGCCACUUUCCAUAAUGUUUCUAUUUCUAUCAUGGCUUUCUCUCGCUGUGUAAACCAGCCCUUAUUAACUCAAGGCUCAUUCAUUCAUUCAUUCAUUUGCUUGGCAAAGACUAUUUUAAAAGAAGUUUGAGCUGUCCAGGAACUAAGGAUUUAAAUUUUUUUUUGGACCACGUUGUCCUCAGUCUCUAAAGGCUGUAACAGAAAAUACCAAAAUUUAUUGAACCAGUAAAAGGAAGUUGACAAUUUUAAGGAGUGUGAUAGAGGGUGAAAGGAAAAAAAGAGAGGAGGAAAGAUGGGAAUAUAUCUUCACAUGAAUAGAACAGUAUGCAUCAAACAUUUGGGGUGGGUGAAGGAUACACAAUUUGUAGGUUUGUGUGUCAAUCUUGGAUUGAAGAUGGUCCAAGAGCAAGGGCAGUUUGUGAAGAGCAUGUCCAAGGAAUGGAUGGAGUUCUGGGAAUGCAAAACAUUAUAGAAAAACAAAGUCAGGAAA
Long non-coding RNA from Peromyscus leucopus (white-footed mouse), 1759 nucleotides. RefSeq lists it as uncharacterized. NCBI's taxonomy places the organism in Eukaryota, Metazoa, Chordata, Mammalia, Rodentia, Cricetidae. The record is from RefSeq and is a predicted model, not a curated record. The transcript has 2 exons.